CUCUAUGGCCAUGCCACCCUGAACAUGCUCAAUCUCAUCUGAUCUCAGAAGCUAAGCAUGGUCGGGCCUGGUUAGUACUUGGAUGGGAGACCACCUAGGAAUACCAGGUGUUGUAGACU
RNAcentral lists this ribosomal RNA (119 nucleotides) under Pteropus vampyrus (large flying fox). Lineage: Eukaryota; Metazoa; Chordata; Mammalia; Chiroptera; Pteropodidae. The record is from RNAcentral.